AACGAACGCUGGCGGCAGGCUUAACACAUGCAAGUCGAGCGCCCCGCCAGGGGCGCGGCAGACGGGUGAGUAACGCGUGGGAACGUACCUUUUGGUUCGGAACAACUCCGGGAAACUGGAGCUAAUACCGGAUAAGCCCUAACGGGGAAAGAUUUAUCGCCGAAAGAUCGGCCCGCGUCUGAUUAGCUAGUUGGUGAGGUAACGGCGCACCAAGGCGACGAUCAGUAGCUGGUCUGAGAGGAUGAUCAGCCACACUGGGACUGAGACACGGCCCAGACUCCUACGGGAGGCAGCAGUGGGGAAUAUUGGACAAUGGGCGCAAGCCUGAUCCAGCCAUGCCGCGUGAGUGAUGAAGGCCUUAGGGUUGUAAAGCUCUUUUGUCCGGGAAGAUAAUGACUGUACCGGAAGAAUAAGCCCCGGCUAACUUCGUG
Molecule: ribosomal RNA, 431 nt
Filed under: uncultured bacterium
Lineage: Bacteria
Description: partial 16S ribosomal RNA
Rfam family: Bacterial small subunit ribosomal RNA
Source: RNAcentral